This 26-nucleotide ribosomal RNA is filed under the name Tuber indicum. Its description in RNAcentral is "partial 28S ribosomal RNA". The record is from RNAcentral. RNAcentral also lists the same sequence under 1 other name. Lineage: Eukaryota; Fungi; Ascomycota; Pezizomycetes; Pezizales; Tuberaceae.
GCUGAACUUAAGCAUAUCAAUACGAA